GGGUUGUGAGGUUAAGCGACUAAGCGUACACGGUGGAUGCCCCGGCAGUCAGAGGCGAUGAAGGACGUGCUAAUCUGCGAUAAGCGUCGGUGAGGUGAUAUGAACCGUUAUAACCGGCGAUUUCCGAAUGGGGAAACCCAGUGAUUCGACACACUAUCAUUAACUGAAUCCAUAGGUUAAUGAGGGCGAACCGGGGAACUGAAACAUCUAAGUACCCCGGAAAAGAAAUCAACCGAGAUUCCCAGUAGCGG
RNAcentral lists this ribosomal RNA (251 nucleotides) under Escherichia coli. Its description in RNAcentral is "partial 23S ribosomal RNA". It matches the Rfam family "Bacterial large subunit ribosomal RNA", at positions 1 to 249 of the family's 2925-position model. The record is from RNAcentral. Lineage: Bacteria; Pseudomonadati; Pseudomonadota; Gammaproteobacteria; Enterobacterales; Enterobacteriaceae.